Molecule: long non-coding RNA, 1814 nt
Organism: Canis lupus familiaris (dog)
Lineage: Eukaryota; Metazoa; Chordata; Mammalia; Carnivora; Canidae
Exons: 8
Source: RefSeq, a predicted model, not a curated record
UUAAGUUUUUGCCUCGUAGACAAUAUGUAAAUCAAUUUUGCUUGGGUAUAUAUAGCCAUUCACAGUUACAAAAAUGAUUCACAUGUAUUAUCACAUUUAAUAUUCCAUAACUCUUCACAAAAGUUAAAAAAAGAUUUACUGAACUUAUAUUAAAAAGGAAACAAAUUAUUGGAGAAGAAAAUGAACUGAAUUAAUUCUUAUGGUUUGAGUGUGGCAGGUGUAAAGUCAACCCAGAUGUUCUGACUUCUAGUAGCACAUCCUGCUCUCCUGUCUGCAGAGGGACCUGGAAGAAAUAGCCAGAAACCUGGAGUUUCUCUGAGAGGCAUAUGUAUCGUCAAAUGGGCCUUCUUGAGCUUCAUAUUUACCUGGGAUAAGAGAUUGCUGGAAGAUGGUUGCAGAAAAUCAGAUGGGCUCAAGAAUCAUCAGAGAUUCAAGCACAAGGUAGAAAGUACCUUGUUCAGUUUAUACCUUCUCCAGAAUGACUUUGGAUAUAGGGACAUAAGUCUGCUUCCAAGUGACAAUCCAUGUAAUUUUCAUUGACCAGCUACUAUGAGCUAGACAUUGGGCAUGCAAAAUAAGAGAAAAUGCCCAAUUAAAGGAACUCGCAGUGUGUUAGGGGAAGGGAAGUAAAGUGUCUUCAACAUAUUAUGUAAAGCAUGAAAAAGAUUGGUUUACACUCAGAAAACAAAGGAAGAUACUACAUGUUCCUCACACCAUUUCCAAGAAAUGGCAUUUCAAAGGCAAAUGUGUUGUUGUCACAAAGAACUUGAGACUGAGCAGAUACAAAGAAGAAUCCAGAGAAGUUCACCCACUUGCUAAAACGGAAUGCCCAUCAGCGAGCAAACUGAGAGGGUAUGCAGAUUCUUUGGAGUCUGAUACAAGAUAGCUGUGCAAGUGCCAGACCUCAUGAAAAAGGAGGGGAGAGAGGGCACCCAACUAUAUUCAUGGUAUCUGUCCUCUUCUGUCAGGAUUUGGAAAGGAACAUUUUCCCAGAAAUGAAUUCUAUGAGAAUCCACUGUUUCAUAGUCAGAAAAACAAGCAUUAAAAUAAACAAAAAACUACGAAUGCCCUUUCCUCAGUGAGUGUCUGCCUUUUCACUGACAGCGCUGCAUCCACUAAACAUUCAAACAAGCAUCUUCUGUGACAGACUCCGGAGGCGUUUAACAGGCAUUUUUAUGAGCAUUUAAUGACCAAAUAUUUAUAAAUUCUCACAACACCUCUGUGAAAUAGGGGUUUCUCUGGCUUCUAUGUGAAUAAUAGACCUGUAUGCAAAAGCAAGAUAGAAGCAAAGACACCAUCAAGAGAUUAUGCAUCCUUAACUACGUGAUUCAAAGGUAUUGCAAGUCCCAAAUGUCCAUUACUUAUGAAUCAUCUUGGCCCCUAAGUAGAAUGUGUUUUUCUUAUCUCUGUUGUACAAUUUAUUCUCAGGAAUUUUAUGUAUUUCAUGGGUCUGUUUUGUCAAUGUUAAGCCUUAAAGCUCAAUUAUAUUUUGUGGAGGGAAUAGCAAAGAAUAGUUCAAUUUGAUAGUGUUUAGCCUUCAAUUAUUAAAUCAUAGCAGUGCUUACUGGAAAUGGCUUUGGUUGCUAUAGCCUGUUGUUUGUAUUUUUAAAUGAAAAAGAUAAGUCCAGUAAGGCCUUCCUCCUGUUGCCAAGAAUAAAAGCCCAGCUUUAUGAAAGCUCAUCAAGACUGACUUGCCACUGAUCCAGCUUUGAGGCAUUUGGGGGAGCUUAUUUUUUUUUAUUUUAAUCCAAAGACUGCCUAAAGACAUUUACCCUUUCCAACUAAAAGCCUUGGGUAAGGCCAUACAAAUUAUA